AACCACAGAGAGAAACCUUAGAAAAAACAAAUGUCAGGUAGCAACUUGGAAUAAAAUCUGGCACGCCUGAGGUCUUUGGGGGACAGGGAAUGCUUACUUACUUUGCCUUCCUGUGGCUGCCUACAGGC
This 128-nucleotide small nucleolar RNA is filed under the name Carlito syrichta (Philippine tarsier). RNAcentral's name for it is "Small nucleolar RNA SNORA67 (ENSTSYG00000020688.2)". It matches the Rfam family "Small nucleolar RNA SNORA67". From Rfam's summary of the family: U67 belongs to the H/ACA class of snoRNAs which are thought to guide the sites of modification of uridines to pseudouridines. The record is from Rfam by way of RNAcentral. Lineage: Eukaryota; Metazoa; Chordata; Mammalia; Primates; Tarsiidae.